UCUCCGUAGGUGAACCUGCGGAGGGAUCAUUACAGAGUUCAUGCCCUACCGGGUAGAUCUCCCACCCUAUGUUAUUAUUACUUUGUUGCUUUGGCGGGCCGUUAGGCUCCGGCCCGACCACCGGCCCCGGCUGGUAAGCGCCCGCCAGAGGACCCAAAACCCUGAAUAUUAGUGUCGUCUGAGUACUAUAUAAUAGUUAAAACUUUCAACAACGGAUCUCUUGGUUCUG
This 229-nucleotide unclassified non-coding RNA is filed under the name plant metagenome. Its description in RNAcentral is "partial contains small subunit ribosomal RNA, internal transcribed spacer 1, and 5.8S ribosomal RNA". The record is from RNAcentral.